GUUAAAAUUCGUCACAUUCCCGGAUGGCUGCGACAGUGGCCUCAAGCAAAGCGAUGCCCUCCAAGGCUUCAUGUCUGAGCUUGAGCGUCUUGGCUCCCAAGCUCUUACCGACCUCCUCAUAGCCAGCGCUAAUGAAGGUCGUCCCGUUGCUUGCAUAAUCUACGGCAUCCUGAUUCCUUGGGUAGCAGAGGUGGCGCAUAGUCUUCACAUCCCCUCCGCACUUUUUUGGAGUCAACCUGUCUCUGUUUUUAAUAUCUAUUAUUAUUAUUUUUGUGGCUAUGGAGAGCUCAUUCGCAAGAAAGUCCGUGACUCCUCGCCUUCCAUUGAAUUACCAGGACUGCCCUUGCUCAGUAGCCGUGACAUUCCCUGUUUCCUACUCCCCUCAAAUGCAAAUGAAUACAACUUCGUCCUUUCAGCGUUUGAGAAGCACCUAGAGAUGCUCCACCGUGAUACCAACCCAACGGUACUGAUAAACACUUUCGAUGCAUUGGAACCAGAGGCCCUAAGGGCCGUCAGUAAGUUUAAGUCGAUUGGAGUUGGACCCUUGUUUCCAACCGCUUUCUUGGGUGGAAAAGAUCCAUCCGAUACUUCAUUUGGAGGUGAUCUUUUCCGUCGUUCAAAGGAUUAUAUUGAAUGGCUGAACUCAAAGCCUGAAUCUUCUGUCAUUUACGUGUCAUUUGGAAGCCUAGCGGUGUUAUCGAAGCAACAGUCUGAGGAGAUUGCUCGUGGAUUGCUGGACAGUGGCCGGCCUUUCCUGUGGGUCAUAAGAGCCAAGGAGAAGGGAGAAGAAGAGAAAGAAGAAGAUAAACUAAGUUGCUACGCAGAAUUAGAACAACAAGGGAUGAUAGUACCAUGGUGUUCUCAGGUUGAGGUUCUCUCAAAUCCAUCACUGGGUUGUUUCGUGACUCAUUGUGGGUGGAAUUCAACCUUGGAGAGCUUGGCUUCUGGGGUGCCAGUUGUGGCAUUUCCUCAGUGGACCGACCAAUCCACGAAUGCAAAGCUAGCCGAAGACGUGUGGAAAACGGGUGUACGGGUGACCGUGAACCAAGAAGGAAUAGUUGAAAGCGAUGAGAUUAAGAGGUGCUUGGAAUUGGUCAUGGGAGAUGGAGAGGAGGCGAAAGAAAUGAGAAGGAAUGCAAAGAAAUGGAAGGGUUUGGCAAGGGAGGCUGUGAUGGAAGGUGGAUCAUCUGACAAGAAUCUUAAGAAUUUUAUGGAUGAGGUCAUACAAGGUUACUAGCUAGAUAUUGUGGUUGUAUCUCUUGGAGUUUAUGUUAAGACUCCCCGAUUAAUUUAAAUAUUUUACAAGAAGAUUUUUAUUAUUUAUGAUGUUAAUACAAGUAGUAGUAUUAAUUAAUGGUAGAGGGCAUAUCUAAAAUUAUGGGAGAUUCAUUGCUUCCUGAAGGCCCUAUCACAAAGGAUCUGUCAAAUGCGUGGCUAAGGUGCUGUUUGGUAAAUGUCCGUUACCAGCCAAAAUUUUGCAAUUAUUGCUAAUGGGAAUCAGGGAAACCCCAAACUGGCCUUGAUGGUCCUUGCGUAAAGACCCAUCCAAUUCUUUACAUUGUGGCCACUGAUUUGGUGUCUUAUCCUCUCAUGCCCAUCACUUCAUGUUUACAAAUUGAUAUUGUAUUCAUAGCUAUUUUUGAUGAAGGUUCAAUUGGCAAGAAGUAUUUUUGCCUUGGGAAGAUGUUGGUUAUGGAUUCAAAGCAAAAUAACAGAUUAAAAAAAUGAUCCUUGUACAAAUUUUUGGGUGCCUCUAUUAAUUAAGUGAAUAUUAUUAUUUAAUUGAUAAAUUAAUAAUUUAUUAAUUUAAUUACUUAUUAAUUAAAUCUCUGGAAUAAUUCUAUUAUGGAACCUAUCUUGCACUAAGAAGCAUCCAUAGCGAUAAUAAUAUUAAAUAAAUUUUUGUUAUAGUACGAGAAUGUUACAUCAGACCUUUUUUUUUUUUUUUUUUUUUUCAUAUUAGGAAUAGUUGAAGAUGAGAUUCAAGUAAACAUCAGUUUUAAGAAGAAAUAACACAUAUAUUUUAAGAAGGAUUCUUGAUAAAACAUAUGAAUUUAAUUACACAUUAGAAAAUUAUUAAUUUCUAUAAUAUGUGGAUUUUAUAUGAAACUACAUAGAUUUUUUAUUUUAUAAAUUUAUCAAAUUAUUAGUUUAGCACGGUGGCCCCAAGUUUAGAUUAAUUAAAAAAAAUUAAUUGAAGUUCUUAAUUAAUUAAAUAUUAAAUUAUUAUAAAGUUUUAUUGUAUUUUAUUUUCAUGGUUCUAAAAAUUGGAUUGAACUAGUCGAUUUGAUUGGUUUGAGCAUUGAUUGACUAUGUAUUUUACAUAUGAGAUCGAUUAUGAGUUGCACUUUCAUCCCAAGGUAUUUUAAAAUUAGGAAAAUCAAUCCCAAGGUAUCUAUUUUUCUUUUCUUAGUCUAUUCACUAUUGUCCAAACACUCCAUAUGUGGAAUGUGGAAUGUAACUUGGAGGGGCUUGAAUAUGCAGAGUUUUAUAACUUUGCACAUUAAUGUCUCAAAGUGUUAAAAUCUUUUACAACUAAUUGUAGAUAAGUUUAGUAUUGACAAAUAAUUUUAUUACAAUUAAAUAAAAUAUUAGAAUUUUUUUAUUAUCCUACUAAUUUUAUGACAAUCAAAUUUAUACAAAAGUAAUUCUUGGUGUCUCGUGUUACUAAAAACAGAAACUCACUUAAGAACUCAUCACGCCUUUGGUGGAGAAAGAUACUUCAUGGGAUGCUAGUAUUAAUUCUCAAGCAGUGGACCUAGGUGAGAGUAAGAAGAAAACCAAAAUAGUAGAACACUCAUCUAAAUUGUCCCAAAAAAAUGGAGGACAAAAUUCCCAAGAAAGUUCAAUAAACAAGUACAAGAAAAGCCAUGAAAGCCCAUUAUUUUUGGAAACAAUGUCAAAUAUUGAAGAAAUUGUCAAAGCAAAAUAUUGAACUUUCAACUUUAGGCACUUAAACAUACUAAUAAGGGGGGGAAUGAACAUAUUACAUAUGACAGUCCUUUAUCGUCGUAUUGACUUUUUUGAUAUGGUGGUAAAGUAUGAAGUGCUUGCAAGAGGGCUAUUAUCAUAUAUGGAAAAUGAUGAGAAAUCCAUACUAUAUAUGGUGAGCUAGAAAAGAAAAAGGCAAGCUAGUGAAAAGAUGCAAAGCCUUGCACUCUAGUUACAAGACGAGUUGCUUUUGUUUGAGGUGCACUUCUACUCACCCAUUAGCCAUAAAUGUAUGCAUUAUUCACAUGCAUUCACUUGGGUCAAGCAUUUUAAUUGUUCAUCUUCAUUACCAAAAAGAAUAAGUUAUUAGCUAGCUAGGUGAUAGAUGAGAAAUAUGUAUCAAGUUAGAAAAAUGCUAAGUUACAUAAUAGGUAUCACACUGAAUUCUAAAUUUGAGCUACUAAUGUGUGGAACAAAACAUGGAUUGUAAAAUACCAAUACUAAAAGAUGAGACUUAGAUAUAAAGAAAUAAAAUAAAAUAAAGUAGAAAAAAAAUAUAAUCUUAGUAUAAUUAAUAAAUAGAAACUUGUUAGAUGCAUGAACAAAAAAGAUCAUUUUUCCACAUAUAUUGACUUUUUGUCAGCUAUCCCUUUUUUUUAUGAGGUAUGGAAAGCAAUUUCCCUAUCAUAGAAUGAUUAAUAAAUGCAUGGGAAAAUAAUUGAACACAUUAAUGAGAUUCAAAUUCAAGAUUCAUAAGCCAAGGUACCUAUUAAAAGCUGCUAGUUGACCUAUAAGUUUAAGCUGAUAGAAAAAUAAUGAUAUCAAGCUUACCAGGAUUAGAUGAAGGGAUUAUAAAAAAGAUAAAAAUAAAAUUAUUGUGUGCAUUCCAAGAAUAGCGACUUGUGAUUGUAUGAGUGGGUGCAAAAAGUGAAGUUAGCCUAUAAGAUUCAUUUCUCCAAUCCUCUCAACAAAGACCACUAGACUGCUAAAGAAUUAUUUGCUACUACAAAUGAGCAACUCCAUCAAGAAGCUAAGGAAUGGCUAAUGCUUACCAUAGAGAAUUGCACCACUCUUUCUAUUUUCAUAGCCACUGUUGCCUUUGCUACAACCUACAUGGUACCAGAGUAAAAAACUUAGAGAUAUGAAGAAAAGAAGAGAUGCGGAGCACCUAUUUGAGAGAAAAUCGGAGAGAUAAAAACUAAAAAAAUUGAACAACUUAGUAUCAUUGAUAAGAACUUUGUUUCUUAUAUACAAAUAUUCAGAAAUUAGUUACAAACAACUGAUUACUACUCAAAAAGUGCUAUUUGAUAGCUUAUAAUUAAUCCUUUUAAACACUUUUGAGUAGUAGUUUUGGCCUUUUAACUCAAUUGGCAUGUUAAGGACCCUUGAAAGCAAUUUUAAUCACUUUGUGUAAGUUUUGGUGUUUUUGUUAGUAUUUUGAUCACCAAAGCAAUUCAAGAUUGAGGAGAAUUUUGAGGAAUCUUGGGCAAAGAUUGGAAGUCAUUUGCCAAGAGUAAAUCCGAAGUGCAAGGAGAAAAAGUAAAGAGAAUCUGCCAUGAAGCAUAUUCUUGAUGACAGUCGUGGCAGCCACUUUUGGAGCACUUUCUGAAGUCCAAUUGAUGCAUGCUAUAUACCAUUUCAAAGAUCAGGAAGUCAACAAUCUAAUGCUUCAAACGGUGCACAAUUCGGAGUUGAAACGAAGAAGUUGCAGCCAUUGCAAGCCAAUCACUCCAAGCUGAAGGAAGCAUUUUCCAAAGUGUUGCGAAAUCACCCUUUUGUUGCGAAGUGAUUUCGCAGCAUUUUUGUACAGUAUGGUGUAUUUCCUCCUGAAGUUGCCCGAUAUAUGCCGCAAGCUGGAAGCUGAGAGCAUCAAGGUAGAAGCCAACUUCGCAGCCCUGCGAAGAUAGCAUGUUGUUGCGAAAUGAUUUCGCAGCCCUUCUUGAGUGUCUGCGAAAUCUCGCAGACACCAUUUUCUCUUGCGGAAUGGUUCCUGGAGCAUCCCGAUAUUUGCUACCGACAUUGGGAGAUAUUUUACAUCAGAUUUUUGUUGUCUAAAUCCCAAAAUACUCCUUGUAAGCCACCAAUUACAAGAUUCCUUAGCUUUAAGUUAGUAAAAAGAGAAAAUAUCUAUGUAAUAAUUAGUUUUAUAUUAUGUUCAUAUAAAUACCUCUCGGGAGCCUGUUCUCAGAGAGAGCCUUUUGUAAAGUUUUAGGUAAGCAAGUAAAGUUCAGUUCUUUGUAUUACCUUACCUUCUCACUUUGUAUAUUUUAUUUUCUUACUAAGUUAUGAACUCUCUGAGGAGUUUUCCCCAGAGAAUGAGUAACUAAACCUCUAAUUCCUUGGAGCUAAGGUUGCCGGGGAAGGUUCCAAGUGCAAGAAUGCAAAGCUUUGUGGUUUUAGCUAGUAAUGAAGAGGAAGUGAAAUCCUUUAGUGAUUUCUAUGUUUUUAGUUAACUUAAAACACCUUAGAGUCAUCUGGGCCAACACUUGGUAAGGCAAGUGAUUUCCAACCAUGGAAAUGCACUAGUUUACCCUUUGCGAGCCUCUGGAAGGUGACUUUAGGGUAGGAUUUUCUAGAAUAGCCAACACUUGGUAAGCUUUUGGACUCCAAGGAGACAUCCAUUAGUUAUCUCUUGCGAGCUUUUGAAGGGAAGUCCAAGGUUAAAGAUCAUCUUGAAUGGUAAGUGCUCGUGAGAGGCAUGAACCAUUGCAAGUUGUAUCAAUGAGAGAAUUAAAGUUGAAAUCCAAUUAAAGGAUGUAUCUGUACAACACCGGUUAGAGAAUUGACUAUAUGUUGAAUCUCUAACGCGAGGAAAGGAACCAUCUGACCGGAGCUAUGUCUUUUGCAUGAGGAACCACCCCAGUGAACCUAACUCUCCAAGGAAUGCUUUUCUUCCUAAGUUAUUCCGAGUACUUGUUAUGUUAGUUAGUUUAAAUCUUUACCAAUCAAAGUUUGUGUUUUAUUUCUUAAGCUAACCUUGAAAUGAAACAAGACCAAUUCACUUGGAAUUGGUAUCAUUGAUAGCUUGCUAAUCCUUCCCAGUGAACGAUCCUAGAGCCGUUAUACUAUAGUAGCUUUUUCUUUGCUACCCUAGUAUAUGGUGUUAUAGGUUAUAAAUUUUGUUGAUUACUCCCUCUAUCAAGGAGCACCAGUUGGACACGAAUCAGCUGAGACACCAAUUGGGCACGAAUCAAAUGGCGCCGUUGCCGGGGAAUGUGUCAAUUUUAUAGCGAUACCAUUUUUUAGCACUUGUGAUUGUCAUCACAAGUUUGGUAACGUUUCUUUCACUUUACUAAUUCUCAUUCUUUCUUUAUUUAUUCAUAAUCCAAGUUUAUCUUUUAAAUUCAGCUUAGUUUAAUUUUGUUUUUCGUAGCCCUGUUUUCUUUUGUUGUCCUUUAUUUUCAUUUUAGUUGCAGAUAGAUACUAGUUGUGUAUGCCAAAUUGGAUACGAGACAGUGGAGGAAGACUUGUUAAGUGUGAUACACCUCAUAACAAAGAAUUUGAGUUGAGCUUGAAUAUCAUGGAAACUACACCUGAAGAUCAGCAUAGUCACCAAGGUCGUCAAGACAAUCUCAAUGAAUUCAGAUCAAUGAGGGACCGUAUGCAUCCACCUCGUAUGAGUGCACCAUCAUGUAUAGUGCCCCCUACAGAGCAGCUAGUGAUCAGACCGUAUCUCGUUCCACUUCUACCAACUUUCCAUGGGAUGGAAAGUGAGAAUCCGUAUGCAUACAUCAAGGAAUUUGAAGAUGUUUGUAAUACAUUCCAAGAGGGAGGAGCUUCAAUUGAUUUGAUGAGGCUUAAGUUAUUUUCUUUUACUUUAAAGGAUAAAGCCAAAAUUUGGCUUAAUUCUUUAAGGCCAAGGAGUAUCCGUUCUUGGACUGACUUACAAGCUGAAUUCCUCAAGAAAUUUUUUCCCACUCAUAGAACAAAUGGCUUGAAAAGGCAAAUUUCAAACUUCUCAGCUAAAGAGAAUGAGAAAUUCUAUGAGUGUUGGGAAAGAUACAUGGAAGCUAUAAAUGCUUGUCUUCACCAUGGCUUUGAUACUUGGCUAUUGGUGAGUUAUUUUUAUGAUGGUAUGUCCUCCUCAAUGAAGCAACUCCUCGAGACAAUGUGUGGAGGAGAUUUCAUGAGUAAAAAUCCAGAGGAAGCUAUGGAUUUCUUGAGCUAUGUAGCUGAUGUUUCAAGGGGAUGGGAUGAACCAACCAAAGGAGAAGUGGGGAAGAUGAAGUCUCAACUGAGUGCUUUCAAUGCAAAGGCUGGGAUGUAUACCUUGAAAGAAGAUGAUGAUAUGAAAGCAAAAUUGGCAGCUAUGACAAGAAGAUUGGAGGAGCUGGAGCUGAAAAGAAUACAUGAAGUGCAAGCUGUUGCUGAAGCACCAGUGCAAGUGAAGCUGUGUCCCAAUUGUCAAUCAUAUGAACAUUUGGUGGAGGAAUGCCCUACAAUUUCAGCUGAAAGGGAGAUGUUUAAAGAUCAAGCAAAUGUUGUUGGACAAUUCAGGCCCAAUAACAAUGCGCCUUAUGGAUAUACCUACAACUCAAGUUGGAGGAAUCAUCCAAAUUUCUCAUGGAAGGCCAGAGCAACUCAAUACCAACAGCCGGAUCCACCACCUCAACAAACUUCAAGUCUUGAUCAAGCAAUGGCUAAUCUCAGCAAGGUAGUGGGAGAUUUUGUUGGAAAGCAAGAAGCCACCAAUGCUCAAAUCUAUCAAAGAAUUGAUAGAGUAGAGAGUAUGUUGAAUAAUAUGAUGGAUGGAAUGCAAAAUGAUAUGAACCAAAAGUUUGAUAACAUCCAAUAUUCAAUUUCAAGGCUUACAAAUUUGAAUACACUGCAAGAAAAGGGAAGAUUUCCUUCUCAACCCCACCAAAACCCCAAAGGUGUCCAUGAAGUGGAAAGCUAAGAGGGAGAAUCAUCACAGAUGAAAGAUGUCAAAGCCUUGAUCACUCUAAGGAGUGGUAAAAAAAUUGAGCAGCCAACACCCAAGCCACAUGUUGAGAAAGAAGAAGAAAUAAAGAAAGGGAAGGAAAUGAAAGAUAAAGACAGUGAGGUCAGUGAAGAAAAGAAGGACUCUGAUUCAACAAUGAAUGCAAUUCCAGAGAAGGAACUUAUGAAGGAAGAAAUGCUGAAGAAAUCAACUUCUCCACCUUUUCCUCAAGCAUUACAUGGGAAAAAGGGGGUUAGAAAUGCAGCUGAAAUCCUUGAAGUAUUGAGACAAGUGAAAGUCAAUAUUCCACUGCUGGAUAUGAUUAAACAAGUUCCAACGUAUGCAAAAUUCCUAAAGGAUUUAUGUACUAUCAAAAGAGGGUUGACUGUAAACAAGAAAGCCUUAUUGACUGAGCAAGUAAGUGCAAUCUUACAAUGUAAGUCUCCAUUGAAGUACAAAGACCCGGGAAGUCCUACCAUUUUAGUCAUGAUUGGAGGAAAGAUAGUGGAAAAAGCCUUGUUAGAUUUGGGAGCAAGUGUGAAUUUGCUUCCAUAUUCCGUCUAUAAGCAAUUGGGACUUGGUGAGUUGAAGCUAAUAGCAAUCACUCUAUCUCUAGCAGAUAGAUCAGUAAAAAUUCCAAGGGGGGUAAUUGAGGAUGUCUUGGUUCAAGUGGAUAAUUUCUACUAUCCAGUAGAUUUUAUUGUUCUUGAUACAGAUCCUACUGUAAAGGAAGCUAAUUUAGUUCCUAUCAUCCUUGGAAGGCCAUUUCUUGCUACCUCAAAUGCAAUCAUCAACUGCAGGAAUGGGCUGAUGCAACUCACUUUUGGCAACAUGACACUGGAUCUCAAUAUUUUCUAUAUGUCUAAAAAGCAAAUCACUCCGGAAGAAGAAGAGGGUCCAGAAGAGCUGUGCAUUAUUGAUACUUUGGUGGAGGAGCACUGUAAUCAAAAUAUGCAAGACAAGUUGAAUGAAAGUCUUGUGAAUUUUGAGGAAGGUUUGUCUGAAUCUCCUACUGUGCUUGCUACUCUACAAAGUUGGAGAAAGAUAGAAGAGAUUCUACCUUUGUUCAAUGAAGAAGAAGAGGCAGCUGCUGAAAAAGAAAUUCCAAAAUUCAAUCUGAAGCCUCUACCUGUGGAGCUGAAAUAUACAUAUCUUGAAGAAAAUAAUCAAUGUCCUGUUGUAAUAUCUUCAUCUCUGACCAGUCAUCAGAAGAAUUGUUUAAUGGAAGUUCUCAAGAGGUGUAAGAGGGCAAUAGGAUGGCAAAUAUCCGACUUGAAAGGCAUUAGUCCUUUAGUUUGUACUCAUCAUAUAUAUAUGGAGGAGGAAGCAAAGCCAAUUCGUCAACUUCAAAGAAGGUUGAAUCCUCAUCUACAAGAGGUGGUGCGAGCUAAGGUGCUGAAGCUACUUCAGGCAGGAAUCAUUUACCCUAUAUCUGAUAGCCCUUGGGUGAGUCCUACUCAAGUGGUACCAAAGAAGUCAGGGAUCACAGUGGUUCCGAAUGAAAAAGGAGAAGAAGUUACUACACGCCUCACUUCAGGUUGGAGGGUGUGUAUUGAUUAUAGAAAGUUGAAUGCUGUAACCAGGAAGGAUCAUUUUCCAUUGCCAUUUAUUGACCAAGUGCUGGAGAGAGUCUCUGGACAUCCAUUCUAUUGUUUCUUGGAUGGGUAUUCAGGGUAUUUUCAGAUUGAAAUUGAUGUGGCAGAUCAGGAAAAGACCACUUUUACAUGUCCAUUUGGAACAUAUGCUUACAGGAGAAUGCCUUUUGGUUUAUGCAAUGCACCUGCUACAUUUCAAAGAUGUAUGUUGAGUAUUUUCAGUGAUAUGGUGGAACGAAUUAUGGAGGUUUUCAUGGAUGACAUCACUGUAUAUGGAGGUACAUUUGAGGAAUGCUUAGUUAAUUUGGAAGCAGUUCUUCACAGAUGCAUUGAAAAAGAUCUGGUGCUCAACUGGGAGAAAUGUCAUUUUAUGGUACGUCAAGGAAUUGUCCUUGGUCAUAUCAUCUCUAAAAGAGGCAUUGAAGUUGAUAAAGCAAAGGUGGAGCUUAUUGUCAAAUUACCAUCCCCAACAACUGUAAAAGGAGUAAGGCAGUUCCUUGGCCAUGCAGGGUUCUAUAGGAGAUUUAUAAAAAGGUUUUUCAAGUCUUUCAAAACCUCUUUGUGAGCUGUUAGCUAAGGAUGCUAAAUUUAUAUGGGAUGAAAGGUGUCAGAAUAGCUUUGAUCAACUGAAGAAAUUUUUAACAGCAACUCCAAUAGUGAGAGCCCCUAACUGGCAAUUACCUUUUGAACUGAUGUGUGAUGCCAGUGACUUUGCUAUAGGAGCUGUGCUUGGCCAAAGGGAAGAUGGGAAGCCCUAUGUGAUUUACUAUGCAAGUAAAACACUGAAUGAAGCUCAAAGGAACUACACAACUACAGAGAAAGAAUUGUUAGCUGUGGUAUUUGCUUUGGACAAAUUUCGUGCUUAUUUAGUGGGGUCUUUCAUCAUUGUCUUUACUGACCAUUCAGCCUUGAAGUAUUUAUUGACAAAGCAAGAUGCAAAAGCAAGGUUGAUUAGAUGGAUUCUUUUGUUACAAGAAUUCGAUCUUCAAAUCAAAGAUAAGAAAGGAGUGGAGAAUGUGGUAGCUGACCACCUUUCCAGGUUAGUUAUAGCACAUAAUUCCCAUCCCUUGCCUAUUAAUGAUGAUUUUCCUGAAGAAUCACUCAUGUUCUUAGUGAAAACUCCUUGGUAUGCUCAUAUUGCUAAUUAUUUAGUAACUGGUGAAAUUCCAAGUGAGUGGAAUGCACAGGACCGGAAGCACUUCUUUGCCAAAAUUCAUGCUNNNNNNNNNNNNNNNNNNNNNNNNNNNNNNNNNNNNNNNNNNNNNNNNNNNNNNNNNNNNNNNNNNNNNNNNNNNNNNNNNNNNNNNNNNNNNNNNNNNNCCCUAACUGGCAAUUACUUUUGAACUGAUGUGUGAUGCCAGUGACUUUGCUAUAGGAGCUGUGCUUGGCCAAAGGGAAGAUGGGAAGCCCUAUGUGAUUUACUAUGCAAGUAAAACACUGAAUGAAGCUCAAAGGAACUACACAACUACAGAGAAAGAAUUGUUAGCUGUGGUAUUUGCUUUGGACAAAUUUCGUGCUUAUUUAGUGGGGUCUUUCAUCAUUGUCUUUACUGACCAUUCAGCCUUGAAGUAUUUAUUGACAAAGCAAGAUGCAAAAGCAAGGUUGAUUAGAUGGAUUCUUUUGUUACAAGAAUUCGAUCUUCAAAUCAAAGAUAAGAAAGGAGUGGAGAAUGUGGUAGCUGACCACCUUUCCAGGUUAGUUAUAGCACAUAAUUCCCAUCCCUUGCCUAUUAAUGAUGAUUUUCCUGAAGAAUCACUCAUGUUCUUAGUGAAAACUCCUUGGUAUGCUCAUAUUGCUAAUUAUUUAGUAACUGGUGAAAUUCCAAGUGAGUGGAAUGCACAGGACCGGAAGCACUUCUUUGCCAAAAUUCAUGCUUAUUAUUGGGAAGAGCCCUUUCUUUUUAAGUAUUGUGCAGAUCAGAUCAUAAGGAAGUGUGUUCCUGAAGAUGAGCAGCAAGGGAUUCUAUCUCAUUGUCAUGAGAAUGCAUGUGGAGGCCACUUUGCCUCUCAGAAAACAGCUAUGAAGGUGUUGCAAUCAGGGUUUACUUGGCCAUCUCUUUUCAAAGAUGCCCACAUCAUGUGUAGAAGUUGUGACAGAUGCCAAAGGCUUGGAAAGCUAACAAAAAGAAAUCAAAUGCCUAUGAACCCCAUUCUAAUAGUUGAGCUAUUUGAUGUAUGGGGCAUUGACUUCAUGGGACCUUUCCCAAUGUCUUUUGGUAAUUCUUACAUCUUGGUGGGGGUGGAUUAUGUUUCUAAAUGGGUUGAGGCAAUCCCCUAUAAACAAAAUGAUCACAGGGUGGUUCUCAAGUUUCUUAAAGAGAACAUUUUCUCAAGAUUUGGGGUGCCCAAAGCCAUAAUCAGUGAUGGAGGUGCUCAUUUUUGCAACAAACCUUUUGAAGCUCUGUUAUCCAAGUAUGGAGUGAAGCAUAAGGUGGCUACACCUUAUCAUCCUCAGACUUCCGGGCAAGUUGAGCUAGCUAACAGGGAAAUAAAGAACAUAUUGAUGAAAGUGGUGAAUUCCAGUAGAAAAGAUUGGUCUAUUAGGCUUCAUGAUUCAUUGUGGGCAUAUAGAAUAGCUUAUAAGACUAUUCUUGGGAUGUCUCCUUAUCUUCUUGUCUAUGGCAAAGCAUGCCAUCUCCCUGUGGAAGUUGAAUACAAGGCUUGGUGGGCAAUAAAGAAGUUAAACAUGGAUUUGGUCAGAGCCGGAGAAAAGAGAUAUCUAGACCUUAAUGAGAUGGAGGAAUUAAGAAAUAAUGCUUAUAUCAAUUCCAAAGUUGCAAAACAGAGGAUGAAGAAGUGGCAUGAUCAACUCAUCUCCAACAAGGAAUUUCAGGAAGGGCAAAGAGUUUUACUGUAUGACACAAGACUCCAUAUCUUUCCUGGGAAGCUCAAGUCAAGGUGGAUAGACCCGUUCAUUAUUCACCGAGUAUAUUCCAAUGGAGUGGUGGAAUUAUUGAAUUCAAAUGGCAAGGAUAGCUUUAGAGUCAAUGGAUAUCGUCUCAAGCCAUUCAUGGAUCCAUUCAAACCAGAAAAGGAGGAAAUCAACCUCCUUGAGCCUCGAAAAGCCUAAGCAAAGAAGGGUUUGCUGGACGUGGUUUACCACAGUCCAAAAUUUUUGUAAAUUUUGUAAAUUUUCAAGUUUUUUUUCCAUACAUUUGAUCUUAGUUUUUGAUCUUAAAUCAUGUUUUUAGGUGUGUUUUAAUCUUUUUGAAUGAUCCCAGGUGGAAGAAAUUGCAAGGAAAUUGAAAGGAAAAGAAUCGGAUAAAAAACAGAGCAAAAACAGAGCAAAAAACAGAGCUCUGCGAGAUUUCGCAGCCUCUGCGAAAUCAGCACUAUGCUGCAAAACCAUUCCGCAACACUUUGGAGUUCUCUGCGAGAAUUUUCGCAGCUGCGAAGGCGAUUUUGGCACACGAGUGCCACUUUGCAGCACAGGAGCCCUCAUUUGGCAGCUGCGAAACGCAUUGCGAAGUGGUAAAGCCUGAUUUCGCACCAAAAGUCCCAUUCCGCAGGGUAUUUUGCAAUUGCGAAAGCGAUUUUGGCACACGUGUGCCACUUCGCAGCACAGUAACAUUAAUUUCGCAGCUGCGAAAUGCAUUGCGAAGUUGCUGCGAAAAUGACAUUUUGCUGCGAAAUUGGCAUUUUGCUGCGAAACUCAAACUGACCCUUAGUCUUCCCUUAUUCCUAUUUAUACCGGUCAUUUGAGUUGCGAAAAGGGUUUCAAAAUCAGAGCGCGCCAUUCUCGCAGACCGUCCAUCUCCUUCUUCAAGCCUCACCGCGCAAGCCUCCGGUCAUCUUCUCCGACCAUCCGUUCCGGCCAAACUUCGGUAAUCCGAAAUGGCGCGAACAAGAGGGGCUAAGUCUCCAUCUCCUUCGAGCCGCAAGAGAAGCUUGCGAAAGGAACCAGUUCCAGAUCCUAUCCCUGACCCUCCGCAGCCGAAAGCAAUUCCUCCUCCGGUGAAGCCCGCGCUGCCAAAGCCUCCGGUAAAGCCCGCGCCGCCAAAACCUCCGGCAAAACGAUACCUAACCAGGUCAGGGGGUCGGCCACUGCAAAAGAAACCCAGGGUGGAGAGCUUAGAACCCAUCGAUUUGACUGAGCAAUCUCCAGAGCCCUCGCCGGCUCCAACUCCAGUUCCCUCGCCAAUUCAGCCUCCGGUGCCAUCUCCGACGCCGCAAGCAAAAUCUCAGGAGACUCAAGCGCCACUUCCCGAGCCCCAAAUUCCAUCUGAAAUAGCUCCGGAAGAAGUAAUCAGGAGGCCGAUGCUGACCCAGCUCCCAAUUGAGGGAAAUUUGGAUUGUAGAACUCGGCCAUUCCACUCCGAGCUAGGCUUUGACAUAUCUACAUUCCAAUUGCAGCCGGAGCUUGCACAGUCAUUCAACCUUCUAAGAAGGUACCAUAUGGAGCAUCUGCUGACUCCGAGAGACUUUUUCUACCCAAGGGUGGCCAUGGAUUUCUAUCAAUCCAUGACAACCAACCAGGUCAGGGAUCCAACUUUAAUUCAUUUCACUAUUGAUGGGAGGCAUGGCAUAUUGGGAGCACGCCAUAUAGCUGAAGCCUUGCAAAUUCCCUAUGAGCCGACCCAAUUCGAUAAUUUUAGAGCUUGGACCAAUCCUACUGAGCUGGAGAUGGUGCGCACCCUAUCCAGAGGAGCUGCCAAUCGAUCAUAUCUGUUGAGGGGGGAGCUUCCUCCAAUCAUGUUUUUGAUUGAUGCAUUUUUGCGUCAUAACCUCUACCCAUUGCAGCAUUGGACUCAAAGAAGAGGAGUCCUCUUAGAAGCCCUGUACAAGAUGUCUGAAGGAUUUUUCUUUGGGCCUCAUCAUCUGAUUCUGGCAGCCCUUCUCUAUUUCGAAGAGAAGGUACACAAAAAGAAGCUUCAGAGAGCUGAUUGCAUUCCCCUCCUCAUUCCAAGGCUGCUAUGCCAAAUUCUGGAGCACUUGGGGUAUCCUUCUGAACCUCAAUUGGAGCGCAAACGCAUUUGCCGUGAGCUUUUCACUCUUAACAAAUGGAACAACAUGACAGCUUAUCGAGUUGACCAGCCUGAGCGCCCACAGCCAGCUGUAAGGAGAGCAUCCCCACGACACAUACCUGAGGGUAUAACAGUUGCUGCUCCUGCCAUUUGCAGAGCUCCACCAGCUGCUCCAGCUUCAUCUCAGCCAUCCACUUCAGCUGAGCCGAGGAUGGCCAUACCCAUUUCUGAAUAUCGAGAGUUGUGCCGUGCAUUGCAGACCCUCACAGCUUCUCAGAGCAGUCUUGCUCAAGAGAUGGCAGCCAUUAGAGCAUGCCAAGAGCAGAUGUUGGCCACUCAGGCUCAACAAGCUGCCAUCUUAAGGCAGCUCCAGCUUCAUUUCAACCUGCCACCAGCUGUUGAGCCCUCCACUUCUACUCCAGCAGAGCCACACUCUCAUCCCUCAGAGCCUCAAGCCCCAGCUGAAGCACCAACUGAAGAGGCAGAUCCAUCUGCCUAGCCCCAGCACCACCCACUCAUCAGAUCAUUAUAUAUAUAUCUACUAUCUUUGUUUUAUGUAUUUCGUUUUUUAGUUUGAAAGAAAUCCCAUUAUUUUGGUAUUAUAUUUGGGAUUGCUUGUAUUACUUUUCUUUUGCAUUGUACUUAAAUGGAUUCAAAGUAAUACAAGUUUAAUAUUUCUUGUUAACAGUUAGCAUUAAGUUAUCCUUAUUUCCUUUUCUCACAUAUUCUAUUCUUUUUGAAACAUGUGGUUUCUCCAAUUAGUAUGCGAAUUUGAUAUCACACAGGAGGUACCACUUCCUCCCUUUAAUUACAGUCACUCAUAUCACAUUGAGGACAAUGCUCAGUUCGGUUGGGGGGAAUGAGGAAGGAAGUUAUGCUAAAUUAAAGGAAGUAUGCUAAGCCUUUUUAGUAAUGCAAUUAUUUUGGUAAAUUAGUUGUAGUUUUUGUUUUUUACUCUUUUUACUCUAUUCUCCAUGAAUCUUGAGGAAAAAUUUUCAAAUUAAAACAGGAAAAAUUGAACUGUUGUUUUUCACUUGACUUAGAGUAUGGAUUAUGCUCACUAAAGUGGUUCAAUUGUUGAAGCUUCUAUUGAAAUUGAAUUUAGUUCUUCCACUUUAAGCUAUUCACACACUGUGCACAUUAGAUUCCGAUUAUAAGAUGAAAAACUAUUUCCCUCUUGACUUAGGAUAAUUUUGGGACUUGGUAUAUUUGACCUCAUUUGAUAAAAAUUGAAACACCCUGCAAAAGGCCAAUGAGCCUUUGAAAUAAAGAAAGUUGUUUGCUUGCCUUAAAACCCGAGCAAGGUCUGAGAGGUAUAUGGUGAAAAUCUUUGAAGCCUGGUGCCCUAAGCCUUAAUUGGUUGGGAGUCACCGACCUCAAUGCUCGUUACAAGGGUGAAUAGGUAGAGUAGCAUAUGGUAGGUGCUUGGGUAUUAAAAAUUCAUUCUCAAAAGUCCGGGGAAAAAUCCGAGGAGUUAGUGGUUGAAAGAUCCUUAAAGCUUGGUGCCCUAAACCUUAAUUGGUUGGGAGUCAUCGAUGGACCCCCAUUACAUGGACAAUACAGAAAGAGUACCCCAUAAGUUCUUUGUUAAAAAAAAAAAAAAAAAAAAAAAAGUGUGUUCUUUCUUUAUUGAUUUUGGUCAGUUUGCUAAGUGUUGAAAAGAGAUAGGUUGGGGGGAGAGAUUAGUUUAGCAUAUUAUUCUCGGAAGCUAAGGAACCAAUACACAUAGAUUUUUGAGGAAGAAUAAAGUUUGGUUCUUUGAAAGUGGAAAUGAUUUUAAAACUUCAGUUUGCAUAAUGCAUUCCCUUGUUUGACAGUGUUUAGCAUAGUUUGUUAUAACUCUUGUUGAAAUUUGCUUUUAUAUUUCUUUAAGGUUUCAUGAGAGAAUUAGAUCAUCAUGCCACUUGAGAAUUGUUUUUGAUCAGCAUGAUGUUGUAAAUUAUAGUUUAAUUUGUUGUUUAUUUUCAUUUUUCUCUCCUAUAUUGCUAAGGGACUAGCAAUAUGUCGGUUGGGGGGAGUGAUUACUACUCAAAAAGUGCUAUUUGAUAGCUUAUAAUUAAUCCUUUUAAACACUUUUGAGUAGUAGUUUUGGCCUUUUAACUCAAUUGGCAUGUUAAGGACCCUUGAAAACAAUUUUAAUCACUUUGUGUAAGUUUUGGUGUUUUUGUUAGUAUUUUGAUCACCAAAGCAAUUCAAGAUUGAGGAGAAUUUUGAGGAAUCUUGGGCAAAGCUUGGAAGUCAUUUGCCAAGAGUAAAUCCGAAGUGCAAGGAGAAAAAGUAAAGAGAAUCUGCCAUGAAGCAUAUUCUUGAUGACAGUCGUGGCAGCCACUUUUGGAGCACUUUCUGAAGUCCAAUUGAUGCAUGCUAUAUACCAUUUCAAAGCUCAGGAAGUCAAUAAUCUAAUGCUUCAAACGGUGCGCAAUUUGGAGUUGAAACGAAGAAGUUGCAGCCAUUGCAAGCCAAUCACUCCAAGCUGAAGGAAGCAUUUUCCAAAGUGUUGCGAAAUCACCCUUUUGUUGCGAAGUGAUUUCGCAGCAUUUUUGUACAGUAUGAUGUAUUUCCUCCUGAAGUUGCCCGAUAUAUGCCGCAAGCUGGAAGCUGAGAGCAUCAAGGUGGAAGCCAACUUCGCAGCCCUGCGAAGAUAGCAUGUUGUUGCGAAAUGAUUUCGCAGCCCUUCUUGAGUGUCUGCGAAAUCUCACAGACACCAUUUUCUCUUGCGGAAUGGUUCCUGGAGCAUCCCGAUAUUUGCUAUCGACAUUGGGAGAUAUUUUACAUCAGAUUUUUGUUGUCUAAAUCCCAAAAUACUCCUUGUAAGCCACCAAUUACAAGAUUCCUUAGCUUUUAAGUUAGUAAAAAGAGAAAAUAUCUAUGUAAUAAUUAGUUUUAUAUUAUGUUCAUAUAAAUACCUCUCGGGAGCCUGUUCUCAGAGAGAGCCUUUUGUAAAGUUUUGGGUAAGCAAGUAAAGUUCAGUUCUUUGUAUUACCUUACCUUCUCACUUUGUAUAUUUUAUUUUCUUACUAAGUUAUGAACUCUCUGAGGAGUUUUCCCCAGAGAAUGAGUAACUAAACCUCUAAUUCCUUGGAGCUAAGGUUGCCGGGGAAGGUUCCAAGUGCAAGAAUGCAAAGCUUUGUGGUUUUAGCUAGUAAUGAAGAGGAAGUGAAAUCCUUUAGUGAUUUCUAUGUUUUUAGUUAACUUAAAACACCUUAGAGUCAUCUGGGCCAACACUUGGUAAGGCAAGUGAUUUCCAACCAUGGAAAUGCACUAGUUUACCCCUUACGAGCCUCUGGAAGGUGACUUUAGGGUAGGAUUUUCUAGAAUAGCCAACACUUGGUAAGCUUUUGGACUCCAAGGAGACAUCCAUUAGUUAUCUCUUGCGAGCUUUUGAAGGGAAGUCCAAGGUUAAAGAUCAUCUUGAAUGGUAAGUGCUCGUGAGAGGCAUGAACCAUUGCAAGUUGUAUCAAUGAGAGAAUUAAAGUUGAAAUCCAAUUAAAGGAUGUAUCUGUACAACACCGGUUAGAGAAUUGACUAUAUGUUGAAUCUCUAACGCGAAGAAAGGAACCAUCUGACCGAAGCUAUGUCUUUUGCAUGAGGAACCACCCCAGUGAACCUAACUCUCCAAGGAAUGCUUUUCUUCCUAAGUUAUUCCGAGUACUUGUUAUGUUAGUUAGUUUAAAUCUUUACCAAUCAAAGUUUGUGUUUUAUUUCUUAAGCUAACCUUGAAAUGAAACAAGACCAAUUCACUUGGAAUUGGUAUCAUUGAUAGCUUGCUAAUCCUUCCCAGUGAACGAUCCUAGAGUCGCUAUACUAUAGUAACUUUUUCUUUGCUACCCUAGUAUAUGGUGUUAUAGGUUAUAAAUUUUGUUGAUUACUCCCUCUAUCAAGAAGCACCAGCUAGACACGAAUCAGCUGAGACACCAAUUGGGCACGAAUCAACAACUAACAACCUAUUAACUACUUAACAACUCUAACUAACAUCCAACCUCAAGCACAUAGGGUGAGAAAGAACUAUGAGCUUGCUCUAGAGAUGAAGGAAAUGCUGAGUGGAGAGAGCUUUGGUUAAGAUAUCAACAGCUUGGUCUCCAAAUGGAAGAAAUCAAACAUCAAAAGUUUUCUACGGGACUCAUUCUUAAACAAAAUGAUAAUUAAUUUCCACAUGUUUAGCCCGAGAAUGAAGGACAAGAAUUACAGCCAAAUAACAUGAACUAAAACAGGGGAACAAAGGGCUCUUUAAGAAAGGAUUGAAUCUAAGUGAGUACGACCGUUGCAUUGGCCAAGCCCCUAUACUCGGACUCGGUAUAAGAGUGUGAACCACCUUUUGUUUAGAAGCUGACUAAGAGACCAGAUUACCACAAAAAAAAAACAAAAAAAAAAAACAAAACACAGUAGCCACUAGUGCUACGUCUAUCAUUAGGGCAAGAUACCCAAUCGACAUUUGUAUAAGCAACAAGAUUGAGUGAGGAAGAUGGUUGGAAAAAAAAAACCCAUAAAACAACAAACCUUUGAGAUAACAAAUAACAUGCUUCAUAUCUUGAAAAUGAGUAGAGGUUGGAGCAUGCAUAAAUUGGUAAAUCUUAUUAACAGUAUAAGGAGUGUUUGGUCUAGUGAUUUUGCAAUACUGAAGGGCACCUACAAGACUCUAAUAGAAAGUGGGAUCCUCUAAUUUGGUACCAUCAACUAUGAAUAAAACAAGACCAGUAGCCAUUAAAGAAGCAACAAGCUUUGAUUCCAACAAAUCAACAUGCUGAAGAAGAUCACAAAUGUAUCUAUCUCGGCUUAAAUGCAAAGAAAAUCCAAAAUUGAGCACCUCUAUUCUAAGAAAGAAAUUGAGAGGACCAGAUUCUUGAGAGCAAAGCAAGAGUUUAAGGAAGAUAUAAGUUGUUCAAUGAGCAAGGAAUUUGAAUUAGUGACAAUAAUAUCAUCGAUAUAAACUAAGACAACAAGCAUGAUAGAAUUGUUAUGGUAACCAAACAUUGAUGUAUCUACUUAAGAUAUGGAAAAACCCCAUUUAAAUAAUGCAGAAUUCAGUUUCGUGAACCAAGCCCAUGGAGUUUGCUUCAAGCCAUACAAGGCCUUGGUAAGCUUACAAACAAAAUUGGGCUUAGAAGGAUCCACAAAACCCGGGGGUUGUAUCUAAAAACUUGCUCAAAUAAAUCACCAUUAUGAACAUCAAGUUGUUGGAUAGACCAAUUUCUACUCAAUGCCAAAGAGAGAACCACACUAAAGGUUUAACCACAAAACUAAAGGUUUCAAAGAAAUCAAAACUGUGAGUUUGAUGGAAUCCUUUCACCACUAAAUGUGCCUUAUAACAAUCAAUAGUUCCCUUAGGUUUAAACUUCAAUUUAUAAACCCACUAACAUCCAAUGGUAUUCUGAUUAGACGGAGGAGGAACCAUGACGUAUGUUUUAUUUUUCAUAAGAGCUUCAAAUUCAAGAUGCAUAGCCUAUUGCCAUUCAGGAACUUUAGCAGUUUCCUUAAAGGAAUCUAGUUCACAAAGUGGAGGAAAAAUAGUCUUAGUAGGAGACAAAUAUAACUUGAGUUCGAAAAUGCCAUUUUUGGCACGUAUUAUCAUGAGAUGACAAGGAGUAAGAACAUAAGAGGAAAGAGGUUGGGUUGUUGGAAUUGCUGUAACCUUAGAAAAGGAAAUUGACACACUAGAAUUAGAUAUUGGAACCAACUUUGAAGGUGGACAUAAUGGGGGAGGUAAGAGGGAAGGUAUUGGAGAUGAUGGUACUACCAAGGGAAUGACACAAUGAGAGGGGGAAACAGAAUAAGAAGUUUGAACUAUGGAAGACUUAGCAAAUCGGAAAUCUAGUUCAUAAAAAAUAACAUGUCGUGAUAUAUGUAUUUUAUGAUUGGACAUGUUUAAAUAAAGAUAUCCUUUAUGCUUAGAACUAUAGCCAAUAUUUUAACGGAUUGAUAUGCAAGUUUAUGACAAUUAAAAUGAUGUAGAAAAGGAUAACAAAUGUAGCCAUAGACAUGAAGAAAAUAAUAAUUUGGUAGACAAUGGUAAAGAGUCUUAUACGGAUCGAGAAGAGAUAUUCAACAUAGAGGUAGGAAGUCUAUUAAUCAAAUAUAAGGUAGAUUGGAAAACAAAAGGUCAAUAUUUAAGUGGAAUAGAAGCACGAGCAAGCAAAGAAAGACCUAUUUCAACCACAUGUCUAUGUUUUCUCUCCACAUGACCAUUUUGUUGAAAAGUAGAUGGACAAGAUAUUCUAUGCAGAAUCCUAAAUUUACAUAAAGUAUCAAUAAAGGCUUGAAACUCCCCUCCCUAAUCAGUUUGAAGCACUCUUAACUUUAGUGUCAAAUUGAGUCUCAGUUAUCACUUUAAAUUGCAAAAAAACAGAGAUAGCUUGAUUUUUAAAAGCUAGUAGAUACAACCCCAAGAAAAUCUUGUAUGGUCAAUUGGAAAAAAGUACAAAGUAUCUUGCAUCAUUAGCACCAACAAUAACGGUAGGACCCCAUAGAUCAAAAUGUAUAAGAGCAAAAGGCUAAGAGACUCUGGAUUUAGACAAAGUAAAAGGUAAGUGAUGACUCUUUGCCAUUUGACAAGGUUCACAAAUACCUAUCCAAUGUUCUGAGGGCAUACUACAAUCACUCAAAACUUUAUUCACUAUUUUACGUGCAAGAUGGCCUAAUUAAAAUGUCAUAGAGCUACCUUAUUGGGAAGUUGUAAUGCAAAUAACAUACACGGGACCUCAAUUGCCAAGCUUGUUCUUCUAACAAUUUUAUUACCUUUAGAAUCUAUAUUUUUUUUACCAGAAACUGAAGAUGACAAUUUGUAUAAACCAUGGUUAAGGUUGCCUUGGAGAAGAGCCUUCUUUGAAGCUUGAUCCUUCAUCACAAAUCCAUUAGUAAAGAAUUCCAUAGUAACAUUAUUGUUAGUACACAACCUAUUCACACUUAUCAAAUUGGUUGUAAGUUGUGGAACAUGUAGAAUAUUCUUUAGAUUUAAAGACUGAGAAACUGACAAAAUAGUAGAGUAUCCAAUAUUUGAGAUAUUUAAGCAACUACAGUUUCCAACGACAACUUUGUCCAAACCAGCAAAUGGAGUAUGUGCAUUCAAGUUCUUGAAAUUUAAAGUUAGGUGAUAUGUAGCUCUAGUAUCCAUGUACCAACUUCCAUCUGCAAUAGUGGCCAGAGUUGCAAUCAUUGCAGCAAGAUGAGGUUACUCAAUUCUUAGGGUUCUUUUUCCUCAUUGGUUUUUGACUCGGAUGAGUUAACUUAGUUCCUAGAGCUCUUCCUCAAUGACAAACAAUUUUGAUUAGAGUGUGGCAAGGAGUUCAAUGAGCAAGCUGGUGAUUGAUCAAGGCCUCACUAGUGAUGAGGACGUCGGUGAUAGCAACAAUCUAGUUGGAGAAACGAUUUUUUCCAACACCCUCAAACACCGCAAAAAUGAUCAUAUCGUCAUCAUGAUCUUAGAUAAGAGAAACUUAAAGUUUUGUUUAUUCCAAUUUCAAAUUGAAAACAAAAUUGUAGAGCACUAGAUACAAAAUAAAAAAAAAAUAAAAGAACGAAAAAUCACUAUAGAAACCUUAGAAAACACACUAGGAAGAAAAAUCAUAGACAAACUCACAGAAGAAUUUUAUGGCUUUAGGAGUUGGAGCCGGAGUUGGAGAAGAGUCUUAAUGGACAUUGAGGAAGGACAAGAAGAGGUGUUCAACUAUAAUUUAUGUAGGCUAUAUUGUAAAGGUUGGCUUUAAAAUGUAUCUAGUAGCGACCUAAUUAGGGUUCAAAGUAUCGGCCAAGUCUGAUACGACUCGGCCGAGUCAUAUCUGUCUCGACACUUGUCGCAACGAGACCGAUACCAGAUACAAUAUAAUGCAUGAACUCGACUGGGAAUCGGUUAGACUUUGCUAAGUUUUCGAGUUAACUCGGUUGACUCGGUUAGGUUAUAAAGAAUUUUCAAAUUUUUCAUAAAAUUGAAAAUAAUAAUAAUAAUAAAUCAGAGAUUGCCCUUUCAAAAGCAAACACCUAUUUUAAAAUUUUAAACCAUCAAUGAGAAGAUCAAAGAAGACCAAGAAGAAAAAACCUAACCUGUGACUCGUUCGGAAAUAAGUGGAGAAACCACCAAAGGAUGAGGGCAUAAUUUAGGAUUUACUUACUUGAUUUUCCUCAAAAUCGAGCAUUACCGAAGGGUGGAGCUUUGGUGUCGGCGAUGGUGACUCAUCAAGUGGAUUGAAUCUUUCACCGGGGACAUCAACAAGACAACCCCCUCAUAGUCAGAUUGCUCCCCCUCCCGUGUUAGGUCUUGCACGGUUGCAAAUUUGCGAUUGUAGGUGGUAUCGUCUAUUUUGGGUCUUGACAGUAAUGAUGACGUGCGAGGGUGGGAGAUUGGGAGCUUAAAUUAGUAAAGUAAAAAAUUGCAUUUUAUAUGGAUUUACAUGGAGAAUUGAGUCCCUGAUUUACAUGGAAAAUACCUUUCAUAUACACACUUUAAUAUGAUUUAAUAGUAACAUAUUAGGAGAAUUGAGUACCCGAUUUGCUAAAGUAAAAUGAUAUGAAAGGUAUAGAUGAAGUUUAAUGAUAAAUUAAAGUGUUUAUAUAGCAAAGUGAAAAUUAAAUCCUCAAUUUUUAAUAUUAUCACAAAAUAACUUUGAGCUAAAUGUGAAAAAAAAAUGGUUUUAUUAAAAUUUUCACCUUAUUUAAUUAUAUCUAUUUUAUUUUUUGAUUUAUAUAAUAUUUUUAUAAUUUUUUGAAAAUUUUAAUUAUCUUAUUUUACGUAUCGUCCAAUACCGAACCGAAACACUGAAACCAAUAUGCCUCGUGAUCCUCCGAGUCAAUGAUCGAUACCACGACUUUGAACCAUGGACCCAAUGGAAGUGGAGUCUAUAGGAACAUCUAUGGUAACGAUCCAAAAAUUAUUGCAGGCAUAAGAGAAUAUAUAAUAGCACUUUCAACAGUAAUCAUGACUAUGUAUCUUUCCUGGAAAUUUCCCACCAAUCCCAAUCCCAACCCCUUUAGAUGCAUGUGGUUGGAAUAUGCAUGAAGCUAUAUAUUACGUGGUUGGGAUAUGAAUGAGGCUAUAUACUAUUUUUAGUUGUGGAUUUUCUUAGCCCCUACUAAAACUAUGUCGCCAUUUCCUAUUCUUCUUGUAAUGUCAAGUUGGAAAGUUAAAUUUAAUUUAAAAACUUUCUAAAUAUUAAAUUUAGAGUUAGUUUCUAAAUGUUAAGGAGAACAUUUUAUUUUGAAUGAUUAUUUAGUUUUUGUAUUUGAGUAUUCAAGUCCUGAAAGGUCUCUAUAUUUCAUUAUUAAGAUUUUCUAUUUAGACAAAUGUGAGUAUAUUUAUAAACAAAAAAUUAUAUAAUAUAUACAUUUUUUAUAAAAAAAAAAAGCAAUAAAAUACAAUAAAAUUUUAAUUCUCUCCUAUUUUUAUCUUUUUUAUAAGUGUGUGUUUAUCUUUCAUCUAGAUAACUCACACAAUACUAACACAAUGAGAGUAAAAGGAGAAGGGCAAUAAAGAGUUGGGGCCGGAGAUCAUUGGAGGAACGGGUCAACUGUAGGCCGGUUGUCAAUGGGCUCAUAUAAGUAACAAAAAUUGGAAAUGGUUUCUAUAUCUUAGUGUCGUGUCUAGAAGACGACAAUCUACCUGUCAGUGUGCAGCAGAAGAGAAAGCGUGAUAUCUACUUAGAGUCAAAACAAAGGGAACCAGCUCGCAAUUCCUCCGAUACAUCAUUACCGACGUCAUAGCUCUAUUCCCCCAAUUCGUCACUACCAACGUCAUUCUAUCUCCAUUACGCAUUAUUUAAAGAGUCCCCAUGCAGAAGCUGUUCGAAACACAAGUCAGCUUUGACACAACCCCACUUCAUUGUGAUAACCUAUCCGGCACAGGUCCCUGUCCAAAGACCCAUCUUACUCUUUACAUUGUGGCCACUGAUUUGGUAUCUAAUCUCAGGCAAAAUUCACUGGUUUGAUGAAGGUUAUAGAACAAAACUUGUGUUAUUCUUAUCUUUGGUUUUGAUGAACUUUAAAGCAUUUAAAAAGAUUCAACUGGUAAGAAGUAUUUUUGCCUUGGGAAGAUGUUGGUUAUGGAUUAAAAGCAAAAAAGACCCUUGUACAUAUUUUUGGGUACCUGUCAAGCAAAUUAAUGCACAUCCGAACAUCACAACUGUUGUCUCUUAAAUUCUUCCAAUUGACCUGCUUUCGUCUUAUUGAGCGUCUGGGUUACUUGAUAAUGCAAAAACUCAUACAGUUAUUUCGAUAAAUUAAGAGCCUCGGGCAUCAAGGAAAAUCUAUUAUUACUUAAUCGAUAAAUUAAUAAUUUAUUAAUUUAAUUGCUUAUUAAUGAGAUCUCUUGAAUAAUUCUAUUAUGGAACAAGACACCAUAACAAUAUUAAAUAAAUUUUUGUCAUAGUAUGAGAAUACCACACUAGAUGUAAUAUGAGAAUGUCAUAUUUAAUUAGGGCCUUGGCUUAAAAUAAGUAAAUAAAUAAUUAAUAAUUAAAAUAUAAAUACUAGACUCACAUUUUAAACAAACACUUCUAAACUCUCAGACUCUACAAAGAACAUACACAAAGAAAUCUAGGUUCCAGAUUUGAGUGAAGAGAAAGAGAAUUUGAUUUUUUUUGUUCUUUUGUGAAAAUUUCAUGGUAAGUGAUACUUCUUAAAGUUUUCUUUUUUUUUUUUUAUAGUUUUUCUUCUUAGAAACUUUAAUUUCCUAAUAAGAUUAAAAAAGAAUUAAUGAAAACAAGAAAUUAAGAAAAUAAAUUGAAAGUAGUUAAAUCUAGAAUGAUAGAAUAAUAAUAAUAAUAAUAAUAAAAACAAUAGAAAGUUUGAUGUGUUAUUGCCGAAACCUAGAGGAAAAUUCUAUAUGAAAUAGUGGAGUUUAUGUUUUUUUUUUAAUAUAUAUAUAUAUAUAUAUAUAGGAUUUUUGGGAGAAAUAGGUAUCCAUGUAAAUAGAAAUUCUUAUGUGUAGGAGAUAAUAAUUGUAUUAAAAAAAAAUUAAUAGACUAAAACCUGGAGAUUGGUAUUCAUACAGUAAGAUUCCAAGUAUAUAGAAAGUAGAAUUACAUGGAACCUAAAAUUUGGUGCACAAUGUGAUUCUUUAUUUAAAACAAAUAGAAUUUAGUGCAUAGUAGGAUUCCUUGUUCAAAUGAAAUAGAAUUUGUUGGGAGAUACAUGGACUAAUAUUAAUUGUGAAGUUAAGAUGUAUUGUGUAUUGGUGUGAUACUGGAAGUGCAUGAGACAAACUUUUGGAGUGUUGGUAUAGGAAAUAAAGUUUUUUUAAAAAAAACUAAUCUAAUAUAAAAAUAUUGGAGGCCUCGAAUUUUAUUAUGUUAGGAUUCCAUAAUGAAUUAAAUUAAAUCAAAUUAAAUUAAUGUAAUUUAGAUUAGAUUAAUUAUAAGUGAGGGAAUUGAAAAGUUCAAGACAAUAAUUUCAAGACAAUUAAGAAAUGGAAAUUUGAUGUUUUUCCUAGAUAAAUGAAUAAUUUAUAUAUGUGUUACAAAACUAUACAUAUUUAGAAUAUAAUUAUUAUUAGAACAUUUGUUUAAAGAACCCUUAGAAUUUCUCAGGUAAUUCUUAGGAAAUUCUACUGCUUUAAUAUUUGGAGUUUGAGUCCAAUUAAGGGGACUAACUAAAUUUUUUUUUUUAUUUUAUAAAUAGUCAAAUAUAAUUUUCUUUUGAAAGUUUUAAGAAAUUGGAAAAUAAUUUUGUUAUAUUGUAUAUGUUUGCUUACACGUGUGAUAUGAAUUUUUUUGUUUAAAAGAAAAAAAAAAUUAGGACUAGUAAUCUAAUCCUUGUUAAUAAAGGAAAGUGUUUUGACUUUCAUUACCUUUGGUGAAGGUAAUGAUAAUUUGUAAACCCAAUCAUUAGAUUUGUCCUGGCUCCGCCCACCAUCAUGUAAGGAACACAUGAGGUUAGCUAUUUCUAUUAGUCUCAUUACAAUGGGCACCUCUCUAAGUCCAAAUUUUGAUGGGCAUUUUCUGUAAAAAGUUAGAAUUGUUCAUUUAAUAUGUUUGCAAAAUAAUGUUAUGCUUAAAUUAUUUUAAAAAUGACACAUGUAAUAUUAGUUGUUUUGUUGUGUUUAAAAGCAUGCUAUAAAGAUUCCUUAUUUCAUUUUUGGAAACACGCAUACUUGAUUUUCAUACCCCUCAUCGGACUUUAAACUCACUCCUUUUACUAAAAUGUUUUUAGAUAUACAUCUAAUUCUAGCAAUGAGUGAUUCGAGUAAGAGGGUUUUUCAUAGAUCCAUUUAGUUCUUAGUUUUAAGUUUAAUGUCAUAAUAACAUUUUGUUAUUAUAGUUUAAUUUAUCAUUACUAUUUUAGAUAAUAUGUUAUAUUUGAAUUAUAGAUUUCGUGCGAAAGAAUAAUUUUUUAUUAUUUCUUUGAAGAUAUAUGAUCAUUUUGAAAGUUUGCUUCUAAAAUGACCUUGGUGUUUAGCUUACGGGUCAGUAUCGUUAUACUAGACCUUCUAUUUGUAUUAUGAAACUACAUAGAUUUUUCCAUAAUAUAUUAUAUUAUAAAUUUAUCAAAUUAUUAGUUUAGCAUGAUGGCCCUAGGUUCAUAUUGAUUAAAAAAUUAUUUAAUUGAGGUUCUCUAUUAAUUAAAUAUUAAUUUAAUUGUCAGAUACUCUUAUUAUUAUUAUUUUUUAUAAAAUAUUCAAAAAUAUUCUUUGUUAUAUCUUUAACUUAAAAAUAUUUUAAAAAAAACAAGAAUAAAAAAACAUCACCAAACAAGCCCUUAUUUAUUUGUUUGUUUUUUAUGUUUUGUUUGCUAUUGUGGUUUUGUUUAGUUGUCAAGAAGUGUGAGACAGUUGAAGAAAUUGAAGUUUUUUUUUUAUAUAUAUAUUUUUUUAAUAGUAUAGGCAAAAAUUCCAAAGGUUUGAAUUGCUUCAAUUUGUUUGUUUGACUUAUGAGAAAAGGUGGGACAAAUACUUCAAUGAGUUUAUAAUCAUCAGUAGUUAACUUACUUCUCUAUCGAAAUGGUUUAAUCAUUCACACUUAAAUUAAAAGCUGGAUUAUCAAAUCCAUUUCCCUUCAUGGAAACUAGUAACUUGAUCCAUCUACUGGUCAUUUAUGGCUUGAGGUCUUGUGCCAUGCACUCUUAAGUUGAUUUCUAGCUAGAAGUCGUAGUGGUAGGGUAUUCAGGAAUCCUUGUCAUAAAAUGUUGUAAAAUUUAUUUUGUGCAAAUUGUUAAGCUACAACUCAAACCAAGGAGUUAUAUACCAUCUAGAUUGCUUGGAUGAAGAAUAUAGACCAAAUCUAUGUAUGUAUGAUAGUUGUUAAUAGGUAGCAAUAGUGGAGUUAAGCUUCAUAGGAUACUGUUUACUGAUAAAGUUUACAUCUUAUAUAGGAUGGAACGAGUUUUUGAACUUUUGUUAACAUAGAAAAACUAAUUGGGUUAGAAUUCUGGCAUAGGUUUUUGCUAUGGUGAAUCAAACAUUCGGGGGACAUCUACCUAUGACACUCCCAAGACAACUAAUUAGUUCUUCACUAGAAUGAGAUGAUCGAUCUCUAUUUGAGCAAUUGGUUAGAUUAAUCCGAUAACUUUUUUUUUAAUUCUCCCAAUAAGAAAACCUUUCUUAAUUAUUCCAACAUGAGAAAUUUUUUUUCUACCUAUGGUUUUUUCAAUGACUAAAUAUAUUUAUUCCUUAGUAUCUAGUACUUUAAGAAAAACAAAAGUUAAAUUGAUUUUAUCAAAAUCUAAAACUUAAUUAAGUCAGAUAAUUAAAAUAUAAUUAAUUGAAAGUUAUCUUAAGCACAUUAAAUUUUACCUCUUACCACCUAAAAUGAUUUCAAAUUUUAUAGUUGUGAUAGAUCCAAGUUGUCCGAAAAGGUCUAUAGAAUAUGCAUUCUUUUACUUAUAAACAAUGUCUUAAAUAGUCGAGGUAGAGUUAUAUAGGGUCAUGGAUUUCUUAUUUUAUUCGAUGUGGGAAAUCAUAAUACACACUUAUCUCCUGUGAAGAGGGACCGUAACCAGGUUGGCUCAUAUAAAAUAACUAAAUUGGAAAUUGGUCUCUAGAUCUUAACUUUGGGUCGCGUCUAGAGGACGACAAACUACCGGUCAGUGUACAGCAGAAGAGAAAGUGAGACAGGAUACUUAUACAUCUCUUGAAAUUAAUUAGUCUUUGAGUCAAAACAAAGAGGAAGCAGCUCACAAUUCCUCCAAAACAUCAUUGCAAACGUCAUAGCUCUGUUUCCCCAAAUUCGUCAUUACAAACGUCAUUCCAUACUCUGCCUUCCUUAUUUAAAGAGUCCCAUGCAGAUGCAGAUGCAGUUCGAUACACAAGUCAGAUUUGAUCAUCCUCUACAUAGACCCAACCGAAGUAUCUCCACUUCAUCUUCUUCCCCUACAAUGACACAACCCCACUUCAUUGUGAUAACCUAUCCCGCACAAGGCCACAUCAACCCUUCUCUCCAACUGGCUAAGCGCCUCAUACGUGCUGGUGCCCAUGUCACAUUCGUCACUAGCACCUAUGCCAGUGAGCGCAUGACCAAAACCCCCACCAUGGAUGGUUUAAAAUUUGUCACAUUCCCGGACGGCUGCGACAGUGGCCUCAAGCAAAGCGAUGCCCUCCAAGGCUUCAUGUCUGAGCUUGAGCGUCUUGGCUCCCAAGCUCUUACCGACCUCCUCAUAGCCAGCGCUAAUGAAGGUCGUCCCGUUACUUGCAUAAUCUACGGCAUCCUGAUUCCUUGGGUAGCAGAGGUGGCGCAUAGUCUUCACAUCCCCUCCGCACUUUUUUGGAGUCAACCUGUCUCUGUUUUUAAUAUCUAUUAUUAUUAUUUUUGUGGCUAUGGAGAGGUCAUUCGCAAGAAAGUCAGUGACUCCUCGCCUUCCAUUGAAUUACCAGGACUGCCCUUGCUCGGUAGCCGUGACAUUCCCUGUUUCCUACUCCCCUCAAAUGCAAAUGAAUACAACUUUGUCCUUUCAGCGUUUCAGAAGCACGUAGAGAUGCUCCACCGUGACACCAACCCAACGGUACUGAUAAACACUUUCGAUGCAUUGGAACCAGAGGCCCUAAGGGCCGUCAGUAAGUUUAAGUCGAUUGGAGUUGGACCCUUGUUUCCAACCGCUUUCUUGGGUGGAAAAGAUCCAUCCGAUACUUCAUUUGGAGGUGAUCUGUUCCGUCGUUCAAAGGAUUAUAUUGAAUGGCUGAACUCAAAGCCUGAAUCUUCUGUCAUUUAUGUGUCAUUUGGAAGCCUCGCGGUGUUAUCGAAGCAACAGUCAGAGGAGAUUGCUCGUGGAUUGCUGGACAGUGGCCGGCCUUUCCUGUGGGUCAUAAGAGCCAAGGAGAAGGGAGAAGAGGAGAAAGAAGAAGAUAAACUAAGUUGCUACGCAGAAUUAGAACAACAAGGUAUGAUAGUACCAUGGUGUUCUCAGGUUGAGGUUCUCUCAAAUCCAUCACUGGGUUGUUUCGUGACUCAUUGUGGGUGGAAUUCAACCUUGGAGAGCUUGGCUUCUGGGGUGCCAGUUGUGGCAUUUCCUCAGUGGACCGACCAAUCCACGAAUGCAAAGCUAGCCGAAGACGUGUGGAAAACGGGUGUACGGGUGACCGUGAACCAAGAAGGAAUAGUUGAAAGCGAUGAGAUUAAGAGGUGCUUGGAAUUGGUCAUGGGAGAUGGAGAGGAGGCGAAAGAAAUGAGAAGGAAUGCAAAGAAAUGGAAGGGUUUGGCAAGGGAGGCUGUGAUGGAAGGUGGAUCAUCUGACAAGAAUCUUAAGAAUUUUAUGGAUGAGGUCAUACAAGGUUACUAGCUAGAUAUUGUGGUUGUAUCUCUUGGAGUUUAUGUUAAGACUCCCCGAUUAAUUUAAAUAUUUUACAAGAAGAUUUUUAUUAUUUAUGAUGUUAAUACAAGUAGUAGUAUUAAUUAAUGGUAGAGGGCAUAUCUAAAAUUAUGGGAGAUUCAUUGCUUCCUGAAGGCCCUAUCACAAAGGAUCUGUCAAAUGCGUGGCUAAGGUGCUGUUUGGUAAAUGUCCGUUACCAGCCAAAAUUUUGCAAUUAUUGCUAAUGGGAAUCAGGGAAACCCCAAACUGGCCUUGAUGGUCCUUGCGUGAAGACCCAUCCAAUUCUUUACAUUGUGGCCACUGAUUUGGUGUCUUAUCCUCUCAUGCCCAUCACUUCAUGUUUACAAAUUGAUAUUGUAUUCAUAGCUAUUUUUUAUGAAGGUUCAAUUGGCAAGAAGUAUUUUUGCCUUGGGAAGAUGUUGGUUAUGGAUUUAAAGCAAAAUAAAAGAUUAAAAAAAUGAUCCUUGUACAAAUUUUUGGGUGCCUCUAUUAAUUAAGUGAAUAUUAUUAUUUAAUUGAUAAAUUAAUAAUUUAUUAAUUUAAUUACUUAUUAAUUAGAUCUCUGGAAUAAUUCUAUUAUGGAACCUAUCUUGCACUAAGAAGCAUCCAUAGCGAUAAUAAUAUUAAAUAAAUUUUUGUUAUAGUACAAGAAUGUUACAUCAGACCUUUUUUUUUUUUUUUUUCAUAUUAGGAAUAGUUAAAGAUGAGAUUUAAGUAAACAUAAGUUUUAAGAAAAAAUAACACAUAUAUUUUACGAAGGAUUCUUGAUAAAACAUAUGAAUUUAAUUAUAUAUUAGAAAAUUAUUAAUUUUUAUAAUAUGUGGAUUUUAUAUGAAACUACAUAGAUUUUUUUUAUAAUGUAUUAUUUUAUAAAUUUAUCAAAUUAUUAGUUUAGCACGAUGACCCCAAAUUUAGAUUAAUUAAAAAAAUAUUUAAUUGAAGUUCUUAAUUAAUUAAAUAUUAAUUUAUUAUAAAGUUUUAUUGUAUUUUAUUUUCAUGUUCUGAAAACUAGUCGAUUUGAUUGGUUUGAGCAUUGAUUGACUAUGUAUUUUACAUAUGAGAUCGAUUAUGAGUUGCACUUUCAUCCCAAGGUAUUUAAAAAUUAGGAAAAUCAAUCCCAAGGUAUCUAUUUUACUUUUCUUAGUCUAUUCACCAUUGUCCAAACACUCCAUAAGUGGAAUGUAACUUGGAGGGGCUUGAAUAUGCAGAAUUUUAUAAUUUUGCACAUUAAUGUCUCAGAGUGUUAAAAUCUUUUACAACUAAUUGUAGAUAAGUUUAGUAUUGACAAAUAAUUUUAUUACAAUUAAAUUAUUUUUUAAUUUAUAAAAAGGUUAAAAUAAAGAUAUUUAAGAAAUAUAGUACCUUAACAAUUAAAAAUAACAUUGGUUGAUGAUAUCUAAGAAAUUCAAUGUUUUCUUCAACCUAAAAUGAAUAUAAAAAUUUGGUAUGAGGAUUGUUUGCUCGACUAUUGAAACUUAUUGACAACAUAGGAAGAGACAAAACUUUUGGGGAUAUAUUAAUAGAGUGAGGAAUUUGGUACUUGAUUCAUAGAGUAAAAGUUGAACAAAAGCAUCAAGAAACAUCGGGGUUGGAAAUGAUAGUGCACUUUUUAAAAGUCAUAGGUGGAAAGAGGGAAAAUUAGAACAGAUGAACCUUAAUUUUUUGGUAUUUUUGAUAGGUGUUUAGUAAAAUAAUUUAAUAUUACAAUUUAUAGUUAAAAAUGACUUAGUAUAUAAGCAGUUAAAAUGAUUUAGGGCUUGUUUGACCGUGUUUUUUAAAAUUUUCUUUUAAAAUAGAGAAUAAAAAUAGUGAACAUCAAGUUGUUGGAUGGACCAAUUUCUACUCAAUGCCAAAGACAGAACCACACGAAUAGUAGUUAGUUUAACCACAAAACUAAAGGUUUCAAGGAAAUCAAAACCGUGAGUUUGAUGAAAUCCUUUCACCGCUAAAUGUGCCUUAUAACAAUCAAUAGUUCCAUUAGGUUUAAACUUCAAUUUAUAAACCCAGUAACAUCUAAUGGUAUUCUGAUUAGACCAAGGAAGAAUGAUGACCUAUGUUUUAUUUUUCAUAAGAGCUUCAAAUUCAAGAUGCAUAGCCUAUUGCCAUUUAGGAACUUUAGCAAUUUCCUUAAAGGAAUUCAGUUCACAAAGUGGGGGAAAAAUAGUCUUAGUAGGAGACAAAAAUAACUUGAGUUCGAAAAUGCCAUUUUUGGCACGCAUUAUCAUGAGAUGACAAGUAUAGUAUGAACAUAAGAGGAAAGAGGUUGGGUUGUUGGAAUAGGUAUAACCUUAGAAAAGGAAAUUGGCACACUAGAAUUAGAUAUUGGAACCAACUUUGAAGGUGGACAUAAUGGGGGAGGUAAGAGGGAAGAUAUUGGAGAUGAUGGUACUACCAAGGGAAUGACACAAUGAGAGAGGGAAACAUAAUAAGGAGUCUGAACUAUGGAAGACUUAGCAAAUGGGAAAUCUAGUUCAUAAAAAAUAACAUGUUGUGAUAUAUGUAUUUUAUGAUUGGACAUGUUUAAAUAAAGAUAUUCUUUAUGCUUAGAACUAUAGUUGAUAUUUUAACGGAUUGAUAUGCAAGUUUAUGACAAUUAAAAGGAUGUAGAAAAGGAUAACAAAUGCAACCAUAGACAUGAAGAUAAUAAUAAUUUGGUAGACAAUGGUAAAGAGUCUUAUACGGAUCAAGAAGAGAUAUUCAACAUAGAGGUAGGAAGUCUAUUAAUCAAAUAUAAGGUAGAUUGGAAAGCAAAAGGUCAAUAUUUAAGUGGAAUAGAAGCAUGAGCAAGCAAAGAAAGACAUAUUUCAACCACAUGUCUAUGUUUUCUCUCCACAUGACCGUUUUGUUGAAAAGUAGAUGGACAAGAUACUCUAUGCAGAAUCCUAAAUUUACAUAAAGUAUCAAUAAAGGCUUGAAACUCCCCUCCCUAAUUAGUUUGAAGCACUCUAACUUUAGUGUAAAAUUGAGUCUCAAUUAUCACUUUAAAUUGCAAAAAAGCAGAGAUAGCUUGAUUUUUAGAAGCUAGUAGAUACAACCCCAAGAAAAUCUUGUAUGGUCAAUAAGAAAAAAGUACAAAGUAUCUUGCUCCAUUAGCACCAACAAUAGCGGUAGGACCCCAUAGAUCAAAAUGUAUAAGAGCAAAAGGCUAAGAGACUCUAGAUUUAGACAAAGUAAAAGGUAAGUGAUGACUCUUUGCCAUUUGACAAGGUUCACAAAUACCUAUCCAAUGUUUUGAGGGCAUACUAUAAGCACUCAAAACUUUAUUGACUAUUUUACGUGCAAGAUGACCUAAUUAAAAUGCCAUAGAACUACCUUAUUGGGAAGUUGUAAUGCAAAUAACAUACACAGGACCUCAAUUGCCAAGCUUGUUCUUCUAACAAUUUUAUUACAAUUGGAAUCUAUAUUUUUUACCAGAAGCUGAAGAUGACAAUUUGUAUAAACCAUGGUUAAGGUUGCCUUGGAGAAGAGCCUUCUUUGAAGCUUGAUCCUUCAUCACAAAUCCAUUAGUAAAGAAUUCCACAGUAACAUUAUUGUCAGUACACAACUUAUUCACACUUAUCAGAUUGGUUGUAAGUUGUGGAACAUGUAAAAUAUUCUUUAGAUUUAAAGACUGAGAAACCGACAAAAUAGUAGAGUAUCCAAUAUUUGAGAUAUUUAAGCAAUUACCGUUUCCAAUGACGACUUUGUCCAAACUAGCAAAUGGAGUAUGUGCAUUCAAGUUGUUGAAAUUUAGAGUUAGGUGAUAUGUAGCUCUAGUAUCCAUGUACCAACUUCCAUCUCCAAUAGUGGCCAGAGUUGCAAUCAUUGCAGCAAGAUGAGGUUACUCAAUUCUUAGGGUUCUUCUUUCUCAUUGGUUUUUGACUCAGAUGAGUUAACUUAGUUCCUAGAGCUCUUCCUCAAUGACAAACAAUUCUGAUUAGAGUGUGGCAAUGAGUUCAAUGAGCAAGCUGGUGAUUGGUCAAGGCCUCACCAGUGAUGAGGAUGUUGGUGAUAGCAACAAUCUAGUUGGAGAAAUGAUUUUUUCCAACACCUUCAAACACCGUAAAAAUGAUCAUAUCAUCAUCAUGAUCUUAGAUAAGAGAAACUUAAAGUUUUUUUUUUUAUUUCAAUUUCAAAUUCAAAACAAAAUUGCAGAGCACUAGAUACAAAAAAAAGAAAAAAGAAAAUAAAAGAACAAAAAAUCACUAUAGAAACCUUAGAAAACACACUAGGAAGAAAAAUCAUAGACAAACUCACAGAAGAAUUUUAUGGCUUUAGGAGUCGGAGCCGGAGCUAGAGAAGAGUCUUAAUGGACAUUGAGGAGGGACAAGAAGAGGUGUUCAACUAUAAUUUAUAUAGGCUAUAUAUAUUGUAAAUGUUGGCUUUAAAAUGUAUCUGGUAGUGACCCAAUGGAAGUGGAGUCUAUAGGAACAUCUAUGGUAGCGAUCCAAAAAUUAUUGCAGUUAUAGGAGAAUAUAUAAUAGCACUUUCAACAGUAAUCGUGACUAUGUAUAUUUCCUGGAAAAUUUCCCACCAAUCCCAAUCUCAAUCCCUUUAGAUGCAUGUGGUUGGAAUAUGCAUGAGGCCAUAUAUUAUGCGGUUGGGAUAUGAAUGAGGCUAUAUAAUAUUUUUAGUUGUGGAUUUUCUUAGCCCCUACUAAAACUAUAUUGCCAUUUCCUAUUCUUCUUGUAAUGUCAAGUUGGAAAGUCAAACUUAAUUUAAAAACUUUUUAAAUAUUAAACUUAGAGUUAGAGUUAGGUGGUGUUUGUUUUUUUUUUUUGUUGAAAACAAUUUGUUUUCAGAAUUUAAGUCGUUUGUUUUUCUAUUUUUUCAUGACUUAUUAUAUACUUUUUACCAAACAGAAAAAACCAAAAUAUGUAGUUUUUUCUAAAUAGAAAAAAUAAUAUGUUCAUUUUUUUUACUUUUUAAUACUUAAUAGAAAUAAAAUACUACAAAAACAAACAACCUAAUAUUUAACAUUAUUAAGUAUUAAGGUUCUAUUUAGAAUUAAAUAAAAAAAAAUAAAUGCCACAUUAGUUUCUAAAUGUUAAGGAGAACAUUUUAUUUUGAAUGAUUAUUUAGUGUUUGUAUUUGAGUAGUUAAGUCGUCAAAGGUCUCUGUAUUUGAUUAUUAAGAGUUUCUAUUUGGAUAAAUGUGAGUAUAUUUAUAAACAAAAAUUCAUAUAUAUAAUAUAUAUAUAUAUAUUUUAAAAAAGCAAUAGAAUACAAUAAAUUUUUAAUUCUCUCCUAUUUUAUCUUUUUUAUAAGUGUGUGUUUCUCUUUCAUCUAGACAACUCACACAAUACUAACACAAUGAGAGUAAAAGGAGAAGGGCAACAAAGAGUUGGAGCCGGAGAUCAUUGGAGGAACGGGUCAACUGUAGGCCGGUUGUCCAUGGGCUCAUAUAAGUAACAAAAAUUGGAAAUGGUUUCUAUAUCUUAGUGUCGUCUAGAAGACGACAAUCUACCUGUCAGUGUGCAGCAGAAGAGAAAGCGUGAUAUCUACUUCGAGUCAAAACAAAAGGGAACCAGCUCGCAAUUCCUCCGAUACAUCAUUACCGACGUCAUAGCUCUAUUCCCCCAAUUCGUCACUACCAACUUCAUUCUAUCUCCAUUACGCAUUAUUUAAAGAGUCCCCAUGCAGAUGCUGUUCGAAACACAAGUCAGCUUUGACACAACCCCACGUCAUUGUGAUAACCCAUCCGGCACAGGUCCCUGUCCAAAGACCCAUCUUACUCUUUACAUUGUGGCCACUGAUUUAGUAUCUAAUCUCAGGCAAAAUUCACUGGUUUGAUGAAGGUUAUAGAACAAAACUUGUGUUAUUCUUAUCUUUGUUUUUGAUGAACUUUAAAGCAUUUAAAAAGAUUCAACUGGUAAGAAGUAUUUUUGCCUUGGGAAGAUGUUGGUUAUGGAUUAAAAGCAAAAAAGACCCUUGUACAUAUUUUUGGGUACCUGUCAAGCAAAUUAAUGCACAUCCGAACAUCACAACUGUUGUCUCUUAAAUUCUUCCAAUUGACCUGCUUUCGUCUUAUUGAGCGUCUGGGUUACUUGAUAAUGCAAAAACUCAUACAGUUAUUUCGAUAAAUUAAGAGCCUCAGGCAUCAAGGAAAAUCUAUUAUUACUUAAUCGAUAAAUUAAUAAUUUAUUAAUUUAAUUGCUUAUUAAUGAGAUCUCUUGAAUAAUUCUAUUAUGGAACAAGACACCAUAACAAUAUUAAAUAAAUUUUUGUCACAGUGUAAGAAUGCCGCAAUAGAUGUAAUAUGAGAAUGUGAUAUUUAAUUAUGGGCCUCCGCUUAAAAUAAGUAAAUAAAUAAUUAAUAAUUAAAAUUUAAAUAAAAUAAAUAAUUAAUUAAUAAUUAAAAUACAAAUACUAGACUCACAUUCUGAGCAGCCGCUUCUAAACUCUUAUACGCUACAAAAAAACAUACACAAAGAAAUCUAGGAUUCUAGAUUUAAGUGAAGAGAAAGAGGAUUUGAUCUUUUUGUUCUUUCUCGAAAAUUUCAUGGUAAGUGAUACUUCUUAAAGAUUUUUUUUUUCAGUUUUUCUUCUUAGAAACUUUAAUUUCCUAAUAAGAUUCAGAAAUAAUUAAUAAAAACAAGAAAUUAAGAAAUACAUUGAAAGUAAUUAAAUCUAAUAUGAUAGAAACCUAAUAAUAAUAAUAAAAAUAAUAGAAAGUUUGAUGUAUUAUUUCUGAUACCUAAAGGAAAAUUCUAUAUGAAAUUGUGGAGUUAAUGUUUUUUUUUUUAAAUAUAUAAUAAUAACAAAAAACAAUAGAAAGUUUGAUGUGUUAUUGCGUAAACCUAGAAGAAAAUUCUAUAUGAAAUAGUGGAGUUAAUGUUUUUAAAAUAUAUAUAUAUAUAUAUACUAGAAAUUCUUAUGUGUAGGAGAUAAGAAUUCUAUUGGAGGCCUCCAAUUUUAUUAUGUUAGGAUUCCAUAAUGAAUUAAAUUAAAUUAAAUUAAUAUAAUUUAGAUUAGAUUAAUUAUAACUGUGGGAAUUGAAAAGCUUAGGAUGACAAUUAAGAAAUGGAAAUAUGAUAUUUUUUCUAGAUAAAUGAAUAAUUUAUAUAUAUGUUAAAAAACUAUAUAUAUUUAGAAUAUAAUUAUUAUUAGAACAUUAGUUUAAAGAACCCUUAUAAUUUCUCAGGUAAUUCAAAGGAAAUUCUACCGCUUUAAUAUUUGGAGUUUAAGUCCAAUUAAGGGGACAAAUUAAAAAAUAUUUAAGUAUAAUUUUCUUUUGAAAGUUUCAAGAAAUUGGGAAAUAAUUUUGUUAUAAGGUAUAUGUUUGCUUAGAUGUGUGAUAUGAAUUUUUUUUUGUUUAAAAGAAAAAAAAAAUAGGACUAGUAAUCUAAUCCCUGUUAAUAAAGGAAAGUGUUUUGACUUUGGGUCAUAUAAAGUAACUAAAUUGGAAAAUGGUCUCUAGAUCUUAACUUUGGGUCGCGACUAGAAGACGACAAACUACCGGUCAGUGUACAGCAGAAGAUAAAGUGAGACAGGAUACUUAUACAUCUCUUGAAAUUAAUUUGUCUUUGGUCAAAACAAAGAGGAAGCAGCUCACAAUUCCUCCAAAACAUCAUUGCAAACGUCAUAGCUCUGUUUCCCCAAAUUCGUCAUUCCAUACUCUGCCUUCCUUAUUUAAAGAGUUCCAUGCAGAUGCAGAUGCAGUUCGAAACACAAGUCAGAUUUGAUCAUCCUCUGCAUAGACCCAACCGAAGUAUCUCCACUUCAUCUUCUUCCCCUACAAUGACACAACCCCAUUUCAUUGUGAUAACCUAUCCGGCACAAGGCCACAUCAACCCUUCUCUCCAACUGGCUAAGCGCCUCAUACGUGCUGGUGCCCAUGUCACAUUCGUCACUAGCACCUAUGCCGGUGAGCGCAUGGCCAAAACCCCAACCAUGGAUGGGUUAAAAUUUGUCACAUUCCCGGAUGGCUGCGACAGUGGCCUCAAGCAAAGCGAUGCCCUCCAAGGCUUCAUGUCUGAGCUUGAGCGUCUUGGCUCCCAAGCUCUUAUCGGCCUCCUCAUAGCCAGCGCUAAUGAAGGUCGUCCCGUUACUUGCAUAAUCUACGGCAUCCUGAUUCCUUGGGUAGCAGAGGUGGCGCGUAGUCUUCACAUCCCCUCCGCACUUUUUUGGAGUCAACCUGUCUCUGUUUUUAAUAUCUAUUAUUAUUAUUUUUGUGGCUAUGGAGAGCUCAUUCGCAAGAAAGUCAGUGACUCCUCGCCUUCCAUUGAAUUACCAGGACUGCCCUUGCUCAGUAGCCGUGACAUUCCCUGUUUCCUACUCCCCUCAAAUGCAAAUGAAUACAACUUCGUCCUUUCAGCGUUUCAGAAGCAC
Molecule: long non-coding RNA, 38439 nt
Filed under: Vitis vinifera (wine grape)
Lineage: Eukaryota; Viridiplantae; Streptophyta; Magnoliopsida; Vitales; Vitaceae
Description: long non-coding RNA (VVIN_LNC001544)
Source: RNAcentral